Molecule: ribosomal RNA, 524 nt
Filed under: uncultured bacterium
Lineage: Bacteria
Description: partial 16S ribosomal RNA
Rfam family: Bacterial small subunit ribosomal RNA
Source: RNAcentral
GACGAACGCUGGCGGCGUGCCUAAUACAUGCAAGUCGAGCGCAGGAAGCCGUCCGAACCCUUCGGGGGGACGACGGUGGAAUGAGCGGCGGACGGGUGAGUAACACGUAAAGAACCUGCCCAUAGGUCUGGGAUAACCACGAGAAAUCGGGGCUAAUACCGGAUGUGUCAGCGGACCGCAUGGUCCGCUGAUGAAAGGCGCUCCGGCGUCGCCCAUGGAUGGCUUUGCGGUGCAUUAGCUAGUUGGUGGGGUAACGGCCCACCAAGGCGACGAUGCAUAGCCGACCUGAGAGGGUGAUCGGCCACACUGGGACUGAGACACGGCCCAGACUCCUACGGGAGGCAGCAGUAGGGAAUCUUCCACAAUGGACGAAAGUCUGAUGGAGCAACGCCGCGUGAACGAUGAAGGCUUUCGGGUCGUAAAGUUCUGUUGUAAGGGAAGAACAAGUGCCGCAGGCAAUGGCGGCACCUUGACGGUACCUUACGAGAAAGCCACGGCUAACUACGUGCCAGCAGCCGCCGUAA